GUGUCAGCCGCCGCGGUAAUACGGAGGAUGCAAGCGUUAUCCGGAUUCAUUGGGUUUAAAGGGUGCGCAGGCGGAUUGAUAAGUCAGGGGUGAAAUCCCACAGCUCAACUGUGGAACUGCCCUUGAUACUGUUAGUCUAGAGUAUAGUUGAAGUGGGCGGAAUGUGUCAUGUAGCGGUGAAAUGCUUAGAUAUGACACAGAACACCGAUCGCGAAGGCAGCUCGCUAAGCUAUAACUGACGCUCAAGCACGAAAGCGUGGGGAUCAAACAGGAUUAGAUACCCUGGUAGUCCACGCCGUAA
RNAcentral lists this ribosomal RNA (301 nucleotides) under uncultured bacterium. Its description in RNAcentral is "bacterial SSU rRNA". It matches the Rfam family "Bacterial small subunit ribosomal RNA", at positions 505 to 805 of the family's 1533-position model. The record is from RNAcentral.